RNAcentral lists this long non-coding RNA (2838 nucleotides) under Lynx pardinus (Iberian lynx). The record is from RNAcentral. Lineage: Eukaryota; Metazoa; Chordata; Mammalia; Carnivora; Felidae.
AAAAAAGUGGCUGACAUCGUUCUAACUUCCACAGAGUUUUGACCCUCAGAUUCUCACAGGACAGGGUCACACACUUCUAAGCUCCCUCUUGGAGUUCAGGGAAGGUCAAAGGGAAGAGUCUUAAACAGAAGACUCUAGCUCAGUGUAUCUAAUCUCCACACCCUAAAUAUUUACUCUGAGCCUCCUAGUCCUGUUUUGUCGUAUCCAACUGGAAUGACCCCCGUUUCUCUGCUCUUUCUCAUCCCUUCAAGCCCUGGCUGCAGUCUGAAGACUCAAAUUUAUUCAAAGGUACAAACUAACCAAGAGAUAUUCUGCUUUCAUUUUCCAUACUAUCCCUGAGGCAGAGUUGGAAAUAACAACGGGGCACGUGCGGCCCGGAGAGCGUGAAGUGACGCGUCUGAGACUCGCCCGCCUUCUGUGGCAGAACGGGAACUAGAAUUUCCGUCUCCUGACAUCAAGCCCACUGCCCUUUUGUAGCCGUCUGAGGGAAGGGCAGCCAGGAAAAUAAAUAUAAACGAAGAAGGUAGGAUAUGCUGGUCCACCUCGAGCUCCCCUCGACCCAUUCCAGACCUGAAGGUAAAGCAGUGGGAGAAACACUGGAUUGGACAGCUAAGGAGCUCUUGGCCUUGAUCUUGGCCUUGCCAUUCAACACUUGAUCUUCCUGACCUGGAAUAAGUAAUUUUCUCCCCUGGCUUCCUCUUGCUCAGCGGUCAAACAGGGAAAAUGUCAUUGACCUGGAUGGCAUGAUGUGUGAAACCACUCUACAAGCGAAUGAUUUAAGUAGCUUGAGUUAUCUCAAGUUCAUCGUGAUGAUUUCGGGCUGGUAGGGCAAGAAAUCAACGUCAACUCCCAUUUGGAGAGAGUCUUGGGGUUUCAAUUAUUCCCCCUCUGGUGUUUCCUGUUAAUUUACACAGAAUUUAUGUAAGUAGAAAGACUGCAUUGCCAUAGAGAUUCUUUUGUGGGGGGGGGGGGGGAGGAUCCAGUCAUGUUUCUUGGCCUUCUCAUAUUUGCCUUAUUUUUUCUGGUCUACUUGGAAAGCUAGCUCCUUAAUCUCUUCUCGCUAUUCGAACGAUGACUGGGAUACGGACCGACAUGGACAUGGAAAGGAUAACAUGAAAAGUUACCGAAGGAAAGGAUUACAGUAAAUAGGUCAGGCAUUCCUUUAUUUUAUGGGACUGGGAUGAUUUAGGCAGAUAUAAGAAGUGAUUUGCCCAAGAUAGCAGAGGGAGUUAAAGACAGAUUAAGAACUUAAAUACAGUUGAUUUAAAAAAGCCACAUUAGGACGCUUCCUCACCCCCCAUGCAAACUGGAGAAUCCACUCACGUGCAUGUGAAUAAUCCAGGUGUAGCGACCUAAAAAUUAUGCAUCACUCUCUGCAGUGUUGCAAGUGUAAUAGAAUUAGGAUAUGGCGACGAUUCUCCAACUCUACCUAUAUCAGAACCACCUACAGGACUUGUUAAAACCCAGGAUGCUGGGCCCCAAUCCCAGAGUUUCUGGUUUAGUAGGUGAGGUCUGAUAAUUUGCAUUUCUAACACCCUCCCAGGUGAUGCUGGCCAAUGGACCAUGAAUAUGCUGGAAUGUCUAUUUUUCUAGAACUUGGCAAAACUGUGGUAAGAGAAUCUUUUGACCUGUGACUUUUUUCUCCCAACUAUUAGUUCUUUGUUAAUGAAUAAUCCACUUAGCAUACCGGUAGGGGCGCCUGGGUGGCUCAGUCGGUUGAGCAUCCGACUCUUGAUGUUGGCUCCAGUCAUGAUUUCAAACCCCAUAUCAGGCUCUCGCUGGCAACGUGGAACCUGCUUGGGAUUCUCUCUCUUCCUCUCUCUGUGACCCUCCUCCUCUCUCUCUCUCCCUCUCUCUCUCUCUCUUAAAUAAAUAAAUAAACAUUAAAAAAGAAUGCUGGUGGAGAAAGGCUUUAGGUAGACAUUCUCAGUUAUCAGUCUGUCGCCUAGGGCACUUGUUCCAGAUGGAGGUUCCUGCUACUUUCUCCCUCCCCACCCCCUCGGAAUGCAACAAGCGAGGCUCCUUGAUGCCUCGGUUUCGUCCUGAUCAUUAUUUUAGCACUAGGGGCUGGGUGUUGUAUAAGCAACUGCUGAGCGAGUGAAGGAAUGAAUUAAUCAAUCAACGGAAUCAUACCUUCUGGUAAUAAUGUCAACCGGGCAUUUCUUUUAUUGUUUUAAAGUUUCACUGCAGGCUUUGCCGCCAGAUACAAAAAGGCAUACAGCUGUCACAAGGAGGGCACUGCACACAAAGUCUCAGCUGUAAACACCACUUCAAAAUAGAAACUCGCUCUUUGGAAUACAUUGUGUCAAAGGCUUCCCAUAUGAAUACCGUUGUUAUAAAACGGCGACAUUUCCUUUGAUAAGCAGACAAAACGCACCCGUUAUCUUACACACAUUUCCAUCUCCUUGUAGCAAUUCCCGUCUCUACCUGCGCUACUCUCAUCCACCCAUGCAGGCACAGGCCACUUCUAUUCCUUCACAAGGGCGGAGGAGACUGGGCUUGGGCCGUGUGACUUGCAUGGCCAUCAGCAAACAUGGUGCGGAGACUUGAUGGGUGAUGUACAAAAGUGAGCCCUUCCUCCUUGGAACCCAGCUGCCAUGCUUUAAGAAAGCCAGUCUAACCGGCUAGCAGAUGAGCAACUCCGCACUCUCGCUGACCAACGCCAACUUCCGGAAGUGUGAAUGAAACCGUCUUGGAUGUUUCUAUUUCGGCCCCAGUAGAGCUCCCAUCUGUUUGCAGCGGCUGAACGAGCGACCCAGGUGAAUGAAUGACCUUGGUCAAUAUCGCCCGGAGGAGGGAAACCACCCAGCCGAGCGCAGAUAGUACACAGAAUCGUGG